RNAcentral lists this ribosomal RNA (451 nucleotides) under uncultured bacterium. RNAcentral's name for it is "bacterial SSU rRNA". It matches the Rfam family "Bacterial small subunit ribosomal RNA", at positions 34 to 473 of the family's 1533-position model. The record is from RNAcentral.
GAAUUCACUAGUGAUUCAGGCCUAACACAUGCAAGUCGAGCGGCAGCACGGGUGCUUGCACCUGGUGGCGAGUGGCGAACGGGUGAGUAAUAUAUCGGAACGUACCUUAUUGUGGGGGAUAACGCAGCGAAAGCUGUGCUAAUACCGCAUAAUCCCUAAGGGGGAAAGCGGGGGACCGUAAGGCCUCGCGCAAUUAGAGCGGCCGAUACGUGAUUAGCUAGUUGGUGAGGUAAAGGCUCACCAAGGCAACGAUCAGUAGCUGGUCUGAGAGGACGAUCAGCCACACUGGGACUGAGACACGGCCCAGACUCCUACGGGAGGCAGCAGUGGGGAAUUUUGGACAAUGGGGGCAACCCUGAUCCAGCAAUGCCGCGUGAGUGAAGAAGGCCUUCGGGUUGUAAAGCUAUGGGUCAGGGAAGAAACAGCAGCUCUAACACAGUUUGCGAAUGAC